Synchiropus splendidus (mandarinfish) is the source of this 902-nucleotide long non-coding RNA. RefSeq lists it as uncharacterized. The transcript has 3 exons. The record is from RefSeq and is a predicted model, not a curated record. Lineage: Eukaryota; Metazoa; Chordata; Actinopteri; Syngnathiformes; Callionymidae.
AGCCAUACAAUGCACUCAAUUUAUUUUGAAGGAUUCUGUUUAUUGAGAAUUCCAUCAAGAACACAUCAACUGAAGUCAUGCAGCAUCAGAGCUGCAGGAUGUAUGAAUAAUUGUCUUUCUUCAUUUGUUUUCAGAGUGAGCCAUUCUCCGAAUAAUUACCCGAUUAUUCCAAUCCAAGGGGUUCAGAAGGAACAGGAGGAUCUGCGUGAGGUGAUGAGAUAGAAGCCUCUGAAAUGCUUUUCCUGACGGAGUCUGAGAAAGAAAGCAAACAACAAAAGGCCAGAGGGGAGAUGUAAUGCCUCCACCUCGUGCAGGAUUUAUCCACCUGGUCUAAUCCCGGCUGGACAUGCACGGCCCCUGAGGAAGGAGGACUGGCUGACACCCACAAAAGAAGCUCGCUCUUACAGCUCUGCCUGUCACACUUAUGUAACAAAACCUAUCUGAGACUUUGUUCUCUUACGCGUACUUAUUUAUGGAGGGAUGACUGAAAAUUGACUUUUAUAACAGAGAAUCCAAGUAUGUGAAUGAAUAAAACUUCUUGAAUGCUUCACCUCCACCGUAGGUUCAUAUUUUUAGGCGUUGAGUGCCGGUGACAAAUCACACAACUGGAGCAAGUACACAAGAUUAAAUCAUGAAUGAAUUUGCUGAAAAUACAUAAUCUCAAAUUUGGAAGUACAUCAGAGAGCAGAAUGGUAGAGCUUUGAGAAAUUACAACAAUGCUGGACGGCCCAUGUGCCAUCAGUGGGGUUUGAAUUUGAACAACUCUGAUUCUUGGUUUGAUUGCGGUUCCUAAUGAUUCUCAAAUCUGAUUUCUGUGAAAGACAUGGUAAAAAAAAAAUCAUGUUUUAAAUGAGAUGCCAAACAAGAGGGUCUUCUGGAAAGAAAUUCUCACGGAGCUCAAC